ACGGGAGGCAGCAGUGGGGGAUAUUGCACAAUGGGGGAAACCCUGAUGCAGCGACGCCGCGUGAGUGAUGAAGUAUUUCGGUAUGUAAAGCUCUAUCAGCAGGGAAGAAAAUGACGGUACCUGACUAAGAAGCACCGGCUAAAUACGUGCCAGCAGCCGCGGUAAUACGUAUGGUGCAAGCGUUAUCCGGAUUUACUGGGUGUAAAGGGAGCGUAGACGGCAUAGCAAGCCAGAUGUGAAAUGCGGGGGCUCAACCCCUGAACUGCAUUUGGAACUGUUAAGCUAGAGUGUCGGAGAGGUAAGUGGAAUUCCUAGUGUAGCGGUGAAAUGCGUAGAUAUUAGGAGGAACACCAGUGGCGAAGGCGGCUUACUGGACGAUAACUGACGUUGAGGCUCGAAAGCGUGGGGAGCAAACAGGAUUAGAUACCCUGGUA
RNAcentral lists this ribosomal RNA (434 nucleotides) under uncultured Clostridium sp. Its description in RNAcentral is "partial 16S ribosomal RNA". It matches the Rfam family "Bacterial small subunit ribosomal RNA", at positions 341 to 792 of the family's 1533-position model. The record is from RNAcentral. Lineage: Bacteria; Bacillati; Bacillota; Clostridia; Eubacteriales; Clostridiaceae.